RNAcentral lists this ribosomal RNA (791 nucleotides) under uncultured Leptotrichia sp. RNAcentral's name for it is "bacterial SSU rRNA". It matches the Rfam family "Bacterial small subunit ribosomal RNA", at positions 37 to 844 of the family's 1533-position model. Lineage: Bacteria; Fusobacteriati; Fusobacteriota; Fusobacteriia; Fusobacteriales; Leptotrichiaceae. The record is from RNAcentral.
UGACAGAAUGCUUAACACAUGCAAGUCGAUGGGGAAGGCUGAGCUUGCUUAGCUGGUAACCAUGGCGGACGGGUGAGUAACGCGUAAGGAACUUACCUGCGGGACUGGGAUAACGGAGGGAAACUUCUGACAAGACCGGAUAAAGUUACUGGGCAGCAUUGUUUAGUAAUGAAAGGAGACGCCUGCGGAGAGUCUUGCGUCCUAUUAGCUAGUUGGUUGGGUAAUGGCUGACCAAGGCGAAGAUAGGUAGCCGGCCUGAGAGGGUGGACGGCCACAAGGGGACUGAGAUACGGCCCUUACUCCUACGGGAGGCAGCAGUGGGGAAUAUUGGACAAUGGGGGCAACCCUGAUCCAGCAAUUCUGUGUGCACGAAGAAGGUUUUCGGAUUGUAAAGUGCUUUCAGCAGGGAAGAAGGAAGUGACGGUACCUGCAGAAGAAGCGACGGCUAAAUACGUGCCAGCAGCCGCGGUAAUACGUAUGUCGCGAGCGUUAUCCGGAAUUAUUGGGCAUAAAGGGCAUCUAGGCGGCCUAACAAGUCAGGGGUGAAAACCUGCGGCUCAACCGCAGGCCUGCCUUUGAAACUGUAAGGCUGGAGUACCGGAGAGGUGGACGGAACUGCACGAGUAGAGGUGAAAUUCGUAGAUAUGUGCAGGAAUGCCGAUGAUGAAGAUAGUCCACUGGACGGAAACUGACGCUGAAGUGCGAAAGCCGGGGGAGCGAACAGGAUUAGAUACCCUGGUAGUCCCGGCCGUAAACGAUGAUUACUGGGUGUGGGCAGGAAGACUGUCUGU